UACGAAGGUCCCAAGCGUUAUCCGGAUUUAUUGGGUUUAAAGGGUGCGUAGGCGGAUUAUUAAGUCAGUGGUGAAAGCUCCCAGCUUAACUGGGAAACUGCCAUUGAUACUGAUGAUCUUGAGUAUGAUUGAAGUGGGCGGAAUGUGUCAUGUAGCGGUGAAAUGCUUAGAUAUGACACAGAACACCGAUUGCGAAGGCAGCUCACUAAGCCAUAACUGACGCUGAUGCACGAAAGCGUGGGGAGCAAACAGG
This 253-nucleotide ribosomal RNA is filed under the name uncultured bacterium. RNAcentral describes it as "partial 16S ribosomal RNA". It matches the Rfam family "Bacterial small subunit ribosomal RNA", at positions 524 to 776 of the family's 1533-position model. The record is from RNAcentral.